CAGGAAAUAGUUUAGUUUAGAAUUCUGGCUUUGGGAGCCAGGGGUGGGAGUUUAAAUCUCUCUUUUUUGG
RNAcentral lists this transfer RNA (70 nucleotides) under Osteochilus nashii (Nash's barb). RNAcentral describes it as "tRNA-Pro". It matches the Rfam family "tRNA". Rfam says of the family: Transfer RNA (tRNA) molecules are approximately 80 nucleotides in length. Their secondary structure includes four short double-helical elements and three loops (D, anti-codon, and T loops). The record is from RNAcentral. Lineage: Eukaryota; Metazoa; Chordata; Actinopteri; Cypriniformes; Cyprinidae.